RNAcentral lists this ribosomal RNA (305 nucleotides) under uncultured bacterium. RNAcentral describes it as "partial 16S ribosomal RNA". It matches the Rfam family "Bacterial small subunit ribosomal RNA", at positions 508 to 807 of the family's 1533-position model. The record is from RNAcentral.
ACAGCAGCCGCCGCGGGAAUACGGAGGGUGCAAGCGUUAAUCGGAAUUACUGGGCGUAAAGCGCACGCAGGCGGUUUGUUAAGUCAGAUGUGAAAUCCCCGAGCUUAACUUGGGAACUGCAUUUGAAACUGGCAAGCUAGAGUCUUGUAGAGGGGGGUAGAAUUCCAGGUGUAGCGGUGAAAUGCGUAGAGAUCUGGAGGAAUACCGGUGGCGAAGGCGGCCCCCUGGACAAAGACUGACGCUCAGGUGCGAAAGCGUGGGGAGCAAACAGGAUUAGAUACCCGUGUAGUCCCUGUCUCUUAUAC